AGUGAACGCUGGCGGCGUGCCUAAUACAUGCAAGUCGAACGGACAAGUAAGAGCUUGCUCUUAUGAGUUAGUGGCGCACGGGUGAGUAAUGUAUAGCUAAUCUGCCCUACACUAGAGGACAACAGUUGGAAACGACUGCUAAUACUCUAUACUCCUCUCUAGCAUAAGUUAGAUAGGGAAAGUUUUUCGGUGUAGGAUGAGGCUAUAUUGUAUCAGCUAGUUGGUGAGGUAAUGGCUCACCAAGGCUAUGACGCAUAACUGGUCUGAGAGGAUGAUCAGUCACACUGGAACUGAGACACGGUCCAGACUCCUACGGGAGGCAGCAGUAGGGAAUAUUGCUCAAUGGGGGAAACCCUGAAGCAGCAACGCCGCGUGGAGGAUGACACUUUUCGGAGCGUAAACUCCUUUUGUUAGGGAAGAACAAUGACGGUACCUAACGAAUAAGCACCGGCUAACUCCGUGCCAGCAGCCGCGGUAAUACGGAGGGUGCAAGCGUUACUCGGAAUCACUGGGCGUAAAGGACGCGUAGGCGGAUUAUCAAGUCUCUUGUGAAAUCCUAUGGCUUAACCAUAGAACUGCUUGGGAAACUGAUAAUCUAGAGUGAGGGGAGAGGCAGAUGGAAUUGGGUGGUGUAGGGGUAAAAUCCGUAGAGAUCACCAGGAAUACCCAUUGCGAAGGCGAUCUGCUGGAACUCAACUGACGCUAAUGCGUGAAAGCGUGGGGAGCAAACAGG
This 733-nucleotide ribosomal RNA is filed under the name uncultured Campylobacter sp. RNAcentral's name for it is "bacterial SSU rRNA". It matches the Rfam family "Bacterial small subunit ribosomal RNA", at positions 28 to 776 of the family's 1533-position model. Lineage: Bacteria; Pseudomonadati; Campylobacterota; Epsilonproteobacteria; Campylobacterales; Campylobacteraceae. The record is from RNAcentral.